This 406-nucleotide ribosomal RNA is filed under the name uncultured bacterium. Its description in RNAcentral is "partial 16S ribosomal RNA". It matches the Rfam family "Bacterial small subunit ribosomal RNA", at positions 30 to 526 of the family's 1533-position model. The record is from RNAcentral.
AUUGAACGCUGGCGGCAGGCCUAACACAUGCAAGUCGAACGAGUGGCGGACGGGUGAGUACUGUCUGGGAAACUGCCUGAUGGAGGGGGAUAACUACUGGAAACGGUAGCUAAUACCGCAUACCAUCAGAUGUGCCCAGAUGGGAUUAGCUUGUUGGUGGGGUAACGGCUCACCAAGGCGACGAUCCCUAGCUGUUCUGAGAGGAUGACCAGCCCAACUGGGACUGGGACACGGUCCAGAUUUCCACGGUGGGUAGCAGUGGGGAAUAUUGCACCAUGGGCGGAAGCCUGAUGCAGCCAUGCCGCGUGUAUGAAGAAGGCCUUCGGGUUGUAAAGUACUUUCAGCGGGGAGGCGUUACCCGCAGAAGAAGCACCGGCUAACUCCGUGCCAGCAGCCACGGUAAUUC